GGGGAAUGAAGCCUGGCUGCUGCUUCCUGAAGAUCUCAGCCACUGGAGGGGGUCAGAGCACCUUGCUGCACAGGGAAAGCCCUUGCAGCUCUGACACAGAAGAGCGGCACCGAGCCUUGGUCUGUUCCUGCCCUUUUUCCCACUCCAGUUCCAGGCUGGGUGUUGGAGGCUGGAGUCCCAUGUGCUAUCACACUGGAAACACUGUGUCCUCUGAGCACCACCUCACAAAGCCGCCUGCUGCUGACCAUUACUCCCAUUCCUGAUGAAGUGAAAGGAUGCAGGGAUGAAGU
Molecule: long non-coding RNA, 290 nt
Filed under: Gallus gallus (chicken)
Lineage: Eukaryota; Metazoa; Chordata; Aves; Galliformes; Phasianidae
Source: RNAcentral